GACGAACGCUGGCGGCGUGCUUAACACAUGCAAGUCGAACGAAGUAGCAAUACUUAGUGGCGAACGGGUGCGUAACACGUGACUAACUUGCCCUAGACUGUGGAAUAACGGAGGGAAACUUCCGCUAAUACCGCAUGUUGAGCUUUGGUGGCAUCACCGGGGCUUGAAAGAUUUAUCGGUCUAGGAUAGGGUCGCGGCCUAUUAGCUUGUUGGUGAGGUAAUGGCUCACCAAGGCAACGAUGGGUAGCUGGUCUGAGAGGAUGAUCAGCCACACUGGGACUGAGAUACGGCCCAGACUCCUACGGGAGGCAGCAGUGAGGAAUAUUGCGCAAUGGACGAAAGUCUGACGCAGCAACGCCGCGUGAAGGAUGAAGGUGCUCUGCAUUGUAAACUUCUGUAGGGAGGGAAGAAUGACCUGCUAUUGGCGGGUUUGACGGUACCUCCAAAGUAAGCACCGGCAAACUUCGUGCCAGCAGCCGCGGUAAUACGAAGGGUGCGAGCGCUAAUCGGAAUUACUGGGCGUAAAGCGCGCGUAGGUGGUUGAGUAAGCGAUCUGUGAAAGCCCCGGGCUUAACCUGGGAACUGCAGGUCGAACUGCUUAGCUAGAGUAUGGUAGAGGGGUGUGGAAUUUCCUGUGUAGCGGUGAAAUGCGUAGAUAUAGGAAGGAACAUCAGUGGCGAAGGCGACACCCUGGACCGAUACUGACACUGAGGCGCGAAAGCGUGGGUAGCGAACAGGAUUAGAUACCCUGGUAGUCCACGCCGUAAACGAUGUCUGCUAGCCGUUGGAGGGCUUGUCCCUUCAGUGGCGGAGCUAACGCGAUAAGCAGACCGCCUGGGGAGUACGGCCGCAAGGUUAAAACUCAAAUGAAUUGACGGGGGCCCGCACAAGCGGUGGAGUAUGUGGUUUAAUUCGACGCAACGCGAAAAACCUUACCCGGUCUUGACAUCCUGGGAACCCUUUAGAGAUAGAGGGGUGCCGCAAGGAGCCCAGAGACAGGUGCUGCAUGGCUGUCGUCAGCUCGUGUCGUGAGAUGUUGGGUUAAGUCCCGCAACGAGCGCAACCCCUGUCCCUAGUUGCCAGCAUUCAGUUGGGCACUCUAGGGAGACUGCCGGUGACAAACCGGAGGAAGGUGGGGAUGACGUCAAGUCAUCAUGGCCCUUACGACCGGGGCUACACACGUACUACAAUGGAACGCACAGAGGGUUGCAAUACCGCGAGGUGGAGCUAAUCCCACAAAACGUUUCGUAGUCCGGAUCGGAGUCUGCAACUCGACUCCGUGAAGUCGGAAUCGCUAGUAAUCGCGAAUCAGCAUGUCGCGGUGAAUACGUUCCCGGGCCUUGUACACACCGCCCGUCACACCAUGGGAGUUUACUGCACCAGAAGCCGGUAGCUUAACCGUAAGGGGGGCGCCGUCCACGGUGUGGUCGAUGACUGGGGUG
Molecule: ribosomal RNA, 1442 nt
Filed under: uncultured bacterium
Lineage: Bacteria
Description: partial 16S ribosomal RNA
Rfam family: Bacterial small subunit ribosomal RNA
Source: RNAcentral